This is a long non-coding RNA of Chelonia mydas (Green sea turtle), 700 nucleotides long. RefSeq lists it as uncharacterized. NCBI's taxonomy places the organism in Eukaryota, Metazoa, Chordata, Testudines, Cheloniidae. The transcript has 3 exons. The record is from RefSeq and is a predicted model, not a curated record.
CUAUGAAGAAUGGAGUCUGUUCCUGGUGGGCAAAGGAGAAGAACUGGUUCUUAGAGAAGCACCUAAGACAGAGUAGAACAGAGGCUGGGAGAGAUCUAGGUUGAUGACUGUCAGACUGGGGCCCUGACUCAAAGGGGCAGAGAAGGUGCUGGGGUUAUGGAGAAGUGGCCCAGGGAAGUAGACAGUAGAGGAGAGCUGGAGGAGGGCAGUAAGUGGCUGCCGCUAGAGGGUCACUGGGUCAGGGCCCGGAGUAGCAGGUGGGUCUGGCACCCUCCCCCCGCACUUGCCAGUGAUGAGUGACUAAGCCAGACUGCAGUUUGCCCUUGGAGGAAGGGGCUAGACUGAGGACUGCAAUGAGCUACUGAAAGUUCCUAUGUGACGCUGGACAAGUCAUUUCCACUAAAACUUUUCACAGGCCUUGGCGGAGUGAGGGUUUUCAUUGAGAAGAAAAAUCAUAAAUGCCUGUCCCCAUGCAAGCACAUCUCAGGAAACCUACCUGGGAAGGAAGUAUGGAUUUCCAUAGGGGUAAGCUGUCAUCUCCCCACCCCAGCUCAUUAGAGGCAGGAUGUAUCCUCUGGAAUCUCAUCUAAUGAGUAUUAUAGCAGUCCAUGCUUGUGAAAAGGAGGAAAGGCUUCUGACAGAUUCAAACUUUGGCUACAGAGAGCCACUCUUUUAUUCAUUUAGGAAGUGGGCUGAAGGA